UCACAUGCAGUCGAGCGCCCCGCAAGGGGAGCGGCAGACGGGUGAGUAACGCGUGGGAAUGAACCCUUUUCUACGGAAUAACGCAGGGAAACUUGUGCUAAUACCGUAUAAGCCCUUCGGGGGAAAGAUUUAUCGGGAAAGGAUGAGCCCGCGUUGGAUUAGCUAGUUGGUGGGGUAAAGGCCUACCAAGGCGACGAUCCAUAGCUGGUCUGAGAGGAUGAUCAGCCACAUUGGGACUGAGACACGGCCCAAACUCCUACGGGAGGCAGCAGUGGGGAAUAUUGGACAAUGGGCGCAAGCCUGAUCCAGCCAUGCCGCGUGAGUGAUGAAGGCCCUAGGGUUGUAAAGCUCUUUCACCGGUGAAGAUAAUGACGGUAACCGGAGAAGAAGCCCCGGCUAACUUCGUGCCAGCAGCCGCGGUAAUACGAAGGGGGCUAGCGUUGUUCGGAAUUACUGGGCGUAAAGCGCACGUAGGCGGACAUUUAAGUCAGGGGUGAAAUCCCGGGGCUCAACCCCGGAACUGCCUUUGAUACUGGGUGUCUAGAGUAUGGAAGAGGUGAGUGGAAUUCCGAGUGUAGAGGUGAAAUUCGUAGAUAUUCGGAGGAACACCAGUGGCGAAGGCGGCUCACUGGUCCAUUACUGACGCUGAGGUGCGAAAGCGUGGGGAGCAACAGGAUUAGAUACCCUGGUAGUCCACGCCGUAACGAUGAA
This 711-nucleotide ribosomal RNA is filed under the name Sinorhizobium sp. AMF3706. RNAcentral describes it as "bacterial SSU rRNA". It matches the Rfam family "Bacterial small subunit ribosomal RNA", at positions 51 to 813 of the family's 1533-position model. The record is from RNAcentral. Lineage: Bacteria; Pseudomonadati; Pseudomonadota; Alphaproteobacteria; Hyphomicrobiales; Rhizobiaceae.